GCUGCUGCCCCACAAACUUCACCCACAGCAACCAUGACUUUGGUCUCCAUCUUCAUCUGGACGCUCACCCUCUGGACUCGAGGAUCCAGUGGUCAUGUGACUGUGACUCAGACUCCUGUAAUUUAUGCACUUCCAAAAGAAACUGUUCACAUCAACUGUAGAAUCAGCACUGCAGUUUAUCACGACCAUGCCUGGGGUUACCGUUUAGCCUGGCAUCAGCUGAAACCUGGAGGAGCUCCCAAACUCCUGAUCUAUUCUGCAGACCUACGUGCGGAUGGUGUUCCAGAUCGUUUCAGUGGCAGUGGAUCUGGAUCUGACUUCACUCUGACCAUCAGUAAUGUCCAGACUGAUGAUGCAGGAGAUUAUUACUGUCAGAGUAUACAUAAGAUCAGUGGUAGCUGGGUGUGGACUUUUGGUGGAGGAACCAAACUGUCAGUUGGAAGUUUGGCCGCGCCCACCCUCACGGUCCUGCCCCCCUCCAGCGUGGAGCUGCAGCAGGGGAAGGCCACACUCGUGUGUUUGGCCAACAAGGGCUUCCCCUCAGACUGGAGGCUGAGCUGGAAGGUGGACGGGAGCAGCUGGAGCUCGGGGGUUAGCCAGAGCCCCGGGCUUCUGCAGAAGGACGACGGCCUCUACAGCUGGAGCAGCACCCUGACCCUCCAGGAGGACCAGUGGCUAAAGAAGACAGUGACCUGUGAGGCCACCAAGGACUCCCAGCCUCCGGUCAGCCAAACCCUGAGGAGAGAGCAUUGCACUGGGCAGUGAGCGUCCAUGCAUGUGUUGGAGCUGCUAGAGCUCCUCUUGGUCUUCAGUGAGCUCAAACAUGGCUCUGCUUAAUGCUCUGAUCUUCAUCUAAUCAUUUCAGCAUCACAAUAAAGAGUUUCAGUAUUAAUAUCUACAGCCUUUCCUUGUUUAUGUUUUUUUCCUUUUCUGCUACAGCAACAAUAAACAUGUAAACUGUUCUUUGAUCUCUUA
Pygocentrus nattereri (red-bellied piranha) is the source of this 975-nucleotide non-coding RNA. Lineage: Eukaryota; Metazoa; Chordata; Actinopteri; Characiformes; Serrasalmidae. The record is from the annotation of a RefSeq genome assembly.